UCCCUUUGCACAAAUAUUGAUCCAAGGCUGUUCAAAUAUCCAUCCUGGCUGGAAUAGCAGCAGUGUGAUAUUGCUGCUGGAGCUGCACAAGGACAUCGGAGGGGAAGGGAACGGGGAAAGAAAGGAGAGCUGGGUAGAGCUGCAGGUUGGCCAUCCGUGUUCUCGCCUUCUCCCCUCCCUUCACAGCUUAAAUUUCUCUUUAUUGACAUUUGUCUCACUGGGCCAAGCAAUCUUUCAAAGGAGAGGGAAGCAACAGCGUUGUUCCACCCUGGGCAUUCAUUAGACGAUAUUGUUUCAGCACUUGAGUUGUCUGAGCAGCCCGGGCAGCGUUUAGGAGAAGGUUAAAUAGAGCUGUUGAGUUCUGGGCAAAUAAAUCUCCCUUUGCCAGCUCGAAACAGAGGAGAACUCCUGCUCUCCUGCCUCUUGCCCAGAAGAAGAGCAGUCAGAGCAGCUCCUUUGCCGAGGGAACGUGAGCAGGGCUGGUUCUGUCCCUCAGCAGCACAAAACCAGUCAGGCUGAGGAGACGCUGAGGUUUUAACCCACCCCAGUGGGUUCUGAGCAUGCCCUGCUUGAGGCGAGACGCUCGCUCCCUCUGCCCGGUGGGCUCCAUCUCGCUCCACGCCAGGGCUCUCCAGAAUUCCUUCUCCGUCAAUAAUAAUGAGAAGCCUCUGUAAAUUAGCUGAUUAGUCAGCUCCCCCUAAUUAGCUAAUUACCCCGCUCUGCUUUCGCUUGUGCUCUCCCGUUGUUUCCCCAACCUCAGGUUGAAGGAACGAGCGCGCACGUGGCUGCGCCGAGAUCUUAUCCUGCUUUGAAGGCUUUAAACUUGCAUGAUUCAGCCGUGCAGGGCUGACACGUGCUCGACCUUACACAACUUCUCUCUUCCAACCCUUUUGUGUCGAGUGCUGUACCUGCCUCUUGUGCCAGGGACUGGGAGUCUCCAGUGCCGGCUUAUGCAACCGUUCCCUCCUCCGUCCCCGCUGCCAGCAGCUAUUCCCGUUAAACUCCGAUCCGUCUUCCUGCUCCGCGUGACAUCGCGCCGUUGCCUACGGAUCCGGCAGGUUUCCCCCAGAGCUGGAGGAGAGGGGAUGUGUUGUCUGGAGCUAGCGAGGUGUGAAGGCACGAUAGCAGCCGUGCAGGGUCAGACCAGGCGUUCCCCAAACACGAGAUCCCCGAUCCUGGGAUGUGUUCCUGGAAACCUGUUUUGUAACAGCACAGCAGAUUCACCUGCUGCUCCAGCUUCUUCCAGCUGCCUGUGGGAUUCCUGAGGAGGAAAGGCCACUCUUGCCACCUCUUGUGUAGAGUUGUGAAUACCUGUGUGUGUUGCUUCAAGAGCAAACAUCUGCAGCUCCCCCCUGCUCCGCAGCACAGAGAGGAACAGGAGCAGCACGGAGCAGGAGGAUGGGCUGCCUGGUCCCUUGCCAGGUGAGUUGGCAGGAUCCUGCACAUCACUCCCUCAAAGUCUCCACGGGGUUUGAUGGAUGCUCGCGGCUCAGAACAUUUUGGGUCUGUUUAAUUGGCAGCUUUUGACGAGCAGCCGCUUGGGC
Molecule: long non-coding RNA, 1544 nt
Filed under: Parus major (Great Tit)
Lineage: Eukaryota; Metazoa; Chordata; Aves; Passeriformes; Paridae
Description: lncRNA (ENSPMJG00000015336.1)
Source: RNAcentral